Molecule: ribosomal RNA, 700 nt
Filed under: uncultured Providencia sp.
Lineage: Bacteria; Pseudomonadati; Pseudomonadota; Gammaproteobacteria; Enterobacterales; Morganellaceae
Description: bacterial SSU rRNA
Rfam family: Bacterial small subunit ribosomal RNA
Source: RNAcentral
UGUAAACGAUGUCGAUUUGGAGGUUGUUCCCUUGAGGAGUGGCUUCCGGAGCUAACGCGUUAAAUCGACCGCUGGGGAGUACGGCCGCAAGGUUAAAACUCAAAUGAAUUGACGGGGGCCCGCACAGCGGUGGAGCAUGUGGUUUAAUUCGAUGCAACGCGAAGAACCUUACCUACUCUUGACAUCCAGAGAAUUUAGCAGAGAUGCUUUAGUGCCUUCGGGAACUCUGAGACAGGUGCUGCAUGGCUGUCGUCAGCUCGUGUUGUGAAAUGUUGGGUUAAGUCCCGCAACGAGCGCAACCCUUAUCCUUUGUUGCCAGCACAUUAUGGUGGGAACUCAAAGGAGACUGCCGGUGAUAAACCGGAGGAAGGUGGGGAUGACGUCAAGUCAUCAUGGCCCUUACGAGUAGGGCUACACACGUGCUACAAUGGCGUAUACAAAGAGAAGCGACCUCGCGAGAGCAAGCGGAACUCAUAAAGUACGUCGUAGUCCGGAUUGGAGUCUGCAACUCGACUCCAUGAAGUCGGAAUCGCUAGUAAUCGUAGAUCAGAAUGCUACGGUGAAUACGUUCCCGGGCCUUGUACACACCGCCCGUCACACCAUGGGAGUGGGUUGCAAAAGAAGUAGGUAGCUUAACCUUCGGGAGGGCGCUUACCACUUUGUGAUUCAUGACUGGGGUGAAGUCGUAACAAGGUAACCA